Molecule: long non-coding RNA, 381 nt
Filed under: Bos taurus (domestic cattle)
Lineage: Eukaryota; Metazoa; Chordata; Mammalia; Artiodactyla; Bovidae
Description: long non-coding RNA NONBTAT004270
Source: RNAcentral
GGCUCUGGCUGCUGCCUCAUGCCUGCAGGGUGUUCUGAGUGUUUUCAUCUUGAUUUCAGAGCUUCAUGCUUGGGCUUAAAUGGGACAUUACCCCAGAAGAACUUCUUCCACCAUGACCACCACCACUUCUGAACUGAGUCUGUCUUUGGCUGUGAAUUUGCUUUGGGGACUUCUCUAGAAGUUAAAUUUGUUUGUGUGGAGGUUGAAACUAGUCAUUUGACCACAUGUGUGAUAUGAGUCACAUUAGAAUAAAGCUCUAGGAGGGUGGUAAAUUGUUCUGCCUAAAUUGCAUCAAUGAUGGCAGUGGAUAUUAUCACUUACAGCUUACAAACAAUAUCUUUCCCAGUCCUCUCAGUUCAGUCUGGGUUUGACUUUUUUUUA